This is a long non-coding RNA of Salmo trutta (river trout), 1953 nucleotides long. NCBI's taxonomy places the organism in Eukaryota, Metazoa, Chordata, Actinopteri, Salmoniformes, Salmonidae. The record is from Ensembl.
AACAAUUUGAACUUCUACUUUUAAAAAUCCACCUCUCCAAAAACAAGUCUCUCACCGUUGCCGCCUGCUAUAGACCCCCAUCGGCCCCUAGCUGUGCUCUGGACACCAUAUGUGAACUGAUUGCCCCCCAUCUAUCUUCAGAGCUCGUGCUACUAGGCGACCUAAACUGGGACAUGCUUAACACCCCAGCCAUUCUACAAUCCAAGCUUGAUGCCCUCAAUCUCACACAAAUUAUUAAUGAACCCACCAGGUACAACCCCAAAGCCGCAAACACUGGCACCCUCAUAGAUAUCAUCCUAACCAAUGUGCCCUCUAAUUACACCUCUGCUGUUUUCAACCAAGAUCUCAGCGAUCACUGCCUCAUUGCCUGCACCCGUAAUGGGUCAGCGGUCAAACGACCUCCACUCAUCACUGUCAAACGCUCCCUGAAACAUUUCAACGAGCAAGCCUUUCUAAUCGACCUGGCCCUGGUAUCCUGGAAGGAUAUUGACCUCAUCCCGUCAGUAGAGGAUGCCUGGUUAUUUUUUAAAAAUGCCUUCCUCUCCAUCUUAAAUAAGCAUGCCCCUUUCAAGAAAUUUAGAACCAGGAACAGAUAUAGCCCUUGGUUCUCCCCAGACCUGACUGCCCUUAACCAACACAAAAACAUCCUGUGGCGUUCUGCAUUAGCAUCGAACUGCCCCCGCGAUAUGCAACUUUUUAGGGAAGUUAGAAACCAAUACACACAGGCAGUUAGAAACGCCAAGGCUAGCUUUUUCAAACAGAAAUUUGCUUCGUGCAACUCCAACUCUAAAAAGUUCUGGGACAUUGUAAAAUCCAUGGAGAAUAAGAACACCUCCUCCCAACUGCCCACUGCACUGAGGAUAGGAAACUCUGUCACCACCGAUAAGCCCACUAUAAUUGAGAAUUUCAAUAAGCAUUUUUCUACGGCUGGCCAUGCUUUCCACCUAACUACCCCUACUGCAUUCAACAGCACUGCACCCCCCACAGCUACUCGCCCAAGCCUCCCCCAUUUCUCCUUCUCCCAAAUCCAUUCAGCUGAUGUUCUGAAAGAGCUGCAAAAUCUGGACCCCUACAAAUCAGCUGGGCUUGACAAUCUGGACCCUUUCUUUCUAAAAUUAUCUGCCGAAAUUAUUGCAACCUAUAUUACUAGCCUGUUCAACCUCUCUUUCGUGUCAUCUGAGAUUCCCAUAGAUUGGAAAGCAGCUGCUGUCAUCCCCCUCUUCAAAGGAGGUGACACUCUUGACCCAAAUUGCUACAGACCUAUAUCCAUCCUACCCUGCCUUUCUAAGGUCUUCGAAAGCCAAGUCAACAAACAGAUUACCGACUAUUUCGAAUCCCACCGCACCCUCUCCGCUAUGCAAUCUGGUUUCAGAGCUGGUCAUGGGUGCACCUCAGCCACGCUCAAGGUCCUAAACGACAUCGUAACCGCCAUCGAUAAGAAACAAUACUGUGCUGCCGUAUUCAUUGACCUGGCCAAAGCUUUUGACUCUGUUAAUCACCACAUCCUCAUCGGCAGACUUAGUAGCCUUGGUUUCUCAAACGAUUGCGUCGCCUGGUUCACCAACUACUUCUCUGACAGAGUUCAGUGUGUCAAAUCGGAGGGCCUACUGUCUGGACCUCUGGCAGUCUCUAUGGGGGUACCACAGGGUUCAAUUUCUUGGGCCAACUCUUUUCUCUGUAUACAUAAAUGAUGUCGCUCUUGCUGCUGGUGAAUCUCUGAUCCACCUCUACGCAGACGACACCAUUCUGUAUACUUCUGGCCCUUCUUUGGACACUGUGUUAACAACCCUCCAGACGAGCUUCAAUGCCAUUCAACUCUCCUUCCGUGGUCUCCAACUGCUCCUAAACACAAGUAAAACUAAAUGCAUGCUCUUCAACCGAUCGCUGCCUGCACCUGCCCGCCCAUCCAGCAUAACUUCUCUGGACGGUUCUAACUUAGAAUUUGUGGACAAC